RNAcentral lists this ribosomal RNA (364 nucleotides) under uncultured eukaryote. RNAcentral's name for it is "partial 18S ribosomal RNA". It matches the Rfam family "Eukaryotic small subunit ribosomal RNA", at positions 592 to 976 of the family's 1831-position model. The record is from RNAcentral.
CAAAAGCGUAUAUUAAAGUUGUUGCAGUUAAAAAGCUCGUAGUUGAACCUUGGGCUUGGCUGGCCGGUCCAUCUUUUUUGAUGCGUACUGGACCCAGCCGAGCCUUUCCUUCUGGCUAGCCUUUUGGCGAACCAGGACUUUUACUUUGAAAAAAUUAGAGUGUUCAAAGCAGGCCUUUGCUCGAAUAUAUUAGCAUGGAAUAAUAGAAUAGGACGUUAUGGUUCUAUUUUGUUGGUUUCUAGGACCAUCGUAAUGAUUAAUAGGGACGGUCGGGGGUAUCAGUGUUCAGUUGUCAGAGGUGAAAUUCUUGGAUUUACUGAAGACUAACUACUGCGAAAGCAUUUACCAAGGACGUUUUCAUUAA